Molecule: non-coding RNA, 135 nt
Organism: Lentithecium fluviatile CBS 122367
Lineage: Eukaryota; Fungi; Ascomycota; Dothideomycetes; Pleosporales; Lentitheciaceae
Source: the annotation of a GenBank genome assembly
GGGCCGGUAACUCAGUGGUAGAGUGUAGGACUGCAGCCAUACUGUCUUCCCGAAGUCACGUAAGUUGUUCUCAUCAAAUGAGUGACGUGAACAUCAUCUAACAAAGACACAGCGGUUCGACUCCGGUUCGGCCCU